GUCUCACAGUUUUGAUCCCUGGCUCAGACGAAACGCUGGCGGCGCGCCUAAUACAUGCAAGUCGAGCGAGAAGACGUAGCAAUACGUUGGUACAGCGGCGAAACGGGUGAGGAAUACAUGGGUAACCUACCCUCGAGUGGGGAAUACUAGCCGAAAGGUUAGCUAAUACCGCAUACGAUUCCAGAACUGCGGUUUUGGAAGGAAAGCGAUACCGUGGGUAUCGCGCUCCUGGAUGGGCUCAUGUCCUAUCAGCUUGUUGGUGAGGUAACGGCUCACCAAGGCUUCGACGGGUAGCUGGUCUGAGAGGACGAUCAGCCACACUGGCACUGCGACACGGGCCAGACUCC
This 347-nucleotide ribosomal RNA is filed under the name uncultured bacterium. RNAcentral describes it as "bacterial SSU rRNA". It matches the Rfam family "Bacterial small subunit ribosomal RNA", at positions 1 to 339 of the family's 1533-position model. The record is from RNAcentral.